GACGAACGCUGGCGGCGUGCCUAAUACAUGCAAGUAGAACGCUGAAGCUUGGUGCUUGCACCGAGCGGAUGAGUUGCGAACGGGUGAGUAACGCGUAGGUAACCUGCCUGGUAGCGGGGGAUAACUAUUGGAAACGAUAGCUAAUACCGCAUAACAGUAGAUGUUGCAUGACAUUUGCUUAAAAGGUGCAAUUGCAUCACUACCAGAUGGACCUGCGUUGUAUUAGCUAGUUGGUGGGGUAACGGCUCACCAAGGCGACGAUACAUAGCCGACCUGAGAGGGUGAUCGGCCACACUGGGACUGAGACACGGCCCAGACUCCUACGGGAGGCAGCAGUAGGGAAUCUUCGGCAAUGGACGGAAGUCUGACCGAGCAACGCCGCGUGAGUGAAGAAGGUUUUCGGAUCGUAAAGCUCUGUUGUAAGAGAAGAACGAGUGUGAGAGUGGAAAGUUCACACUGUGACGGUAUCUUACCAGAAAGGGACGGCUAACUACGUGCCAGCAGCCGCGGUAAUACGUAGGUCCCGAGCGUUGUCCGGAUUUAUUGGGCGUAAAGCGAGCGCAGGCGGUUAGAUAAGUCUGAAGUUAAAGGCUGUGGCCUAACCAUAGUACGCUUUGGAAACUGUUUAACUUGAGUGCAAGAGGGGAGAGUGGAAUUCCAUGUGUAGCGGUGAAAUGCGUAGAUAUAUGGAGGAACACCGGUGGCGAAAGCGGCUCUCUGGCUUGUAACUGACGCUGAGGCUCGAAAGCGUGGGGAGCAAACAGG
This 765-nucleotide ribosomal RNA is filed under the name uncultured Streptococcus sp. RNAcentral describes it as "bacterial SSU rRNA". It matches the Rfam family "Bacterial small subunit ribosomal RNA", at positions 28 to 776 of the family's 1533-position model. The record is from RNAcentral. Lineage: Bacteria; Bacillati; Bacillota; Bacilli; Lactobacillales; Streptococcaceae.